GUGGGGAAUAUUGCGCAAUGGGCGCAAGCCUGAUGCAGUGACGCCGCGUGAGUGAAGAAGUAUUUCGGUAUGUAAAGCUCUAUCAGCAGGGAAGAAAAUGACGGUACCUGACUAAGAAGCACCGGCUAAAUACGUGCCAGCAGCCGCGGUAAUACGUAUGGUGCAAGCGUUAUCCGGAUUUACUGGGUGUAAAGGGAGCGUAGGUGGCAAGGCAAGCCAGAAGUGAAAACCCGGGGCUCAACCGCGGGAUUGCUUUUGGAACUGCCAUGCUAGAGUGCAGGAGGGGUGAGCGGAAUUCCUAGUGUAGCGGUGAAAUGCGUAGAUAUUAGGAGGAACACCGGAGGCGAAGGCGGCUCACUGGACUGUAACUGACACUGAGGCUCGAAAGCGUGGGGAGCAAACAGGAUUAGAUACCCGGGUAGUCC
This 425-nucleotide ribosomal RNA is filed under the name uncultured bacterium. RNAcentral's name for it is "partial 16S ribosomal RNA". It matches the Rfam family "Bacterial small subunit ribosomal RNA", at positions 354 to 796 of the family's 1533-position model. The record is from RNAcentral.